UCUGAUUCCGCUGUCUGAAAUUCGCGAUAAGGAGGUGAUGCGUCAUUAUAACGUGGAAACUGAUGCUGAGGUUUUGGACCUACUUGACACUGUUUCUAGCCAGAAACAGGUUUUUGUUUACCUUUACCGAUUACUCUUACUUUUUCGUUGGAUUAAGUUUUUGUUUUAUUUUGAUUUAGUUAAUGUUUGUUUGAUACUAACAACUAACAAACUGAGCACCAACAAAGCGUUGGUUGGUCUAGUGGUGUAAAGCCCCACUGGAUCUCCAACGAGGUCGAGAGUUCAAUUCUCGGGAGCGACACUCUUUGAGAGUGGCAGACACGAACUCGGGAUUAGUUCCGGAUACCCUUGGUAGUACCAAAAAAUUAACAAACUGAGCUUGGAUAUACAGGUGACGGUGGUGGGAAAGAUAUACUGGGGUGAUGCAAGAGAGAAAGUUGUUGAAGCUGUUGGGGACUUGAAGCUUGACUCUUUGGUCAUGGGUAGCAGAGGUUUGGGUGCUAUAAAUAGGUACUUUCAACUCCCUCACCCUAAUUAGUCAUACUUUUAUAUGCAUCAAAAUAAGAUCACAUCACAUGAACUAACAAUCAAGGUUCUUGGCUUUACUAAUUAAUGGUUUAAAUUAGACAAGUGGAUGUAUUAUAAUAAUAUUUCACCUAACUUUAGCCAAAAGCUUCUUCAUAAGGGUGGGCUGCCCAGGUCCCUAGAUGGAUGUAUUGAUUUAAAUUGUAGUUACCAGCAACAGCAAAUGUGAACAUACUACUGUGUUUUUUAGCCUCCACAAUCAUAUCACAAUUGCGAUUGCGACCACAUACAUCACCCGCAACCCACAAUCACAAUAAUCAACAACCAAAAUUAAAAACAAUGAGCGGAUCUAAAAAGAGCAACUUCUAUAUAUUUUAUACAAUUUGUUGAAUGUAUGUAAUAUUAUAAAAUAAAAAAUAUUUGCUGGGCAUGUAUGUAAUAUAUAUCUGGCCUCUCUCUUGGGAUGCUUUGAAUCCAUUCCGUCCUAAAUCAUAUAUACUAAUGUGAUGUGAGACUCUAAUUCUUAACAGAAUGUAGUUGAGCCUUGGCUCUUCUGGUUGUGGUAAUUGGUUGGAGUAUUGGCUUCCUAUAAGAAAAACAUACUUCAAAUAAACAUAAGCAUGCUGAAUGCUAAUUUCUUGAUACUGUUUAUUUUUGUUUAUUGAUUGUAGGGUGCUGCUGGGGUACAGCCUUUUAUUUUCCUAAUUGUUAGAAGGAGUUUGAGAAUGAAACAUGUUCGACCAAAUGCAUCACUCACUAUAUUUAGACAGAAGACACCACAAUAUAAUAUAGUUCUUUUUUACAUUCACUAUUUUUUAUUUUACUUCCGCAGUUUUAUUUGUAAUCGCUAGAAAUAGUUGUUGUGGGUUAAACCCUAAUUGCAUGGUGUACAAAGAUACAUUCUCUAUUUUAUAGAAUCUUUCGUAUGUUACAUAAAAUGUAUUGACUCUUUAUUUUUGGUAAGUUAUUGCUUCACACGAUGAGUAUGUUAUUUUGAGACAGAUAUUAUAUUCUACUACUUAUUUGUAAAUCAAAUACAUAGUGAAAUAAAGAUUUAUUAUAGCAAAUCAUGUUGGGCAUCAAAAUCUAUACUAUAUAUAAAUGAAAAAAUAUAUGAAGUAAUUACCAUAAUAUAAUUUUAUUUUCCUAUUUUGCCCUUAAACAUUUUAAUUUUUACAAAAAAUCAUAUAAUUAUAUAUAAGUAUGUAAUCAUCACCAACAUAUUAACCACCUCUCUAGCAUUAUAAUAAAACAAAACGUUAUAAUAUAAAAUAUCUCCAAUAAAAAAUACGAUAUAAAAAAAAAAGUAUACGUAGUACAAAAAAUAUUCUAAUUAUAAAUAUAUAAAAUUUGAAUUGACAUCUUAAAAAUAUGAAUCUGGGUUGGCAAGGCCGGAAGUGUCUAUUACCACUAGUAAUAGUAGAAUAAAAAUAUAAAAAAUAAUAAAUACUUCAACUUUUUAAUUGAUAUGUUAUUCCAUUAGGGAAAGAAAUCUUGUUCAACAUGGUGACAUAAUAAGAAGUUGCAAAAUUCAAUUUAACGUUUUGGAACAUCAUGCUUUUUAUAUUUUGUUUCAAAACAAACUGAUAUAGCUUCUAAUAUUAGCUUUACAUUUAAUUUCCUUACUAUGCUUAGACUAUAAUAGGUGAGUAAAAGAUUCAAUUUUGAAUAAAACCCUUCUAAAAAUAGAAAUGUUGAAAUGAAGUAUGAUGUUGGAUAUAUAAAUAGUAAACAAGAUUAACACUCGGUUACUUAUUGCAAUUUAGUUUUGUUCCAUUUUGAUGCCAGUAAAUAAUAAACUGGUUAUAUACUUUGUUGUUGAGAAAUCAAAGACUUUAUCACAAACUGAACAGUGCAUUCUGAAUCAGAGUUGAAAGGCCAUAGAUUCGGUGUGAAUUUCCCAUUACUCGCAAAAAAUGGCAAGUGAUAGGAAAAUAGGGGUAGCCUUGGACUUCUCUCAUGGAAGCAAAAACGCUCUAAAUUGGGCUAUUCACAAUCUUCUUCGUGACGGUGACACACUCUACAUCAUCCACAUCAAACAUCACCAACCUAGUGAAUCACGAAAUCUUCUUUGGAUUACUACUGGUUCGCGUAAGUUCAUUAAUUUUUAUCUCUUUAAUUUUUGUAAGUGUUGUGUUAUUUAAUGUUUUUGAGAUCUGAUUAUUGUGAUCUUGGUUUGUAGCUCUGAUUCCGCUGUCUGAAAUUCGCGAUAAGGAGGUGAUGCGUCAUUAUAACGUGGAAACUGAUGCUGAGGUUUUGGACCUACUUGACACUGUUUCUAGCCAGAAACAGGUUUUUGUUUACCUUUACCGAUUACUCUUACUUUUUCGUUGGAUUAAGUUUUUGUUUUAUUUUGAUUUAGUUAAUGUUUGUUUGAUACUAACAACUAACAAACUGAGCACCAAC
This 2931-nucleotide long non-coding RNA is filed under the name Lupinus angustifolius (narrow-leaved blue lupine). Its description in RNAcentral is "long non-coding RNA (LANG_LNC001175)". Lineage: Eukaryota; Viridiplantae; Streptophyta; Magnoliopsida; Fabales; Fabaceae. The record is from RNAcentral.